GCCUCAUGACCCAGAUGAUUAGGGGUCCUGGGAGGGGCUGACCUUGCCUGCACCCGCCUCACCACCCCCACCCCGCAGAAACUCCAAACUUCACCGGCUCUGCGGGCUCUGUGACACCGAGCUGCUCUGUCCCCUUUGAUGGAGAGCAAACUGCAGCAUGGGGAGUGCUGUUCUGGCCCGCAUGCUGCCUCCCCUGCCCUGGGGAUGCCCUGCUGGCCGGGUGGCAUCUCCUGGCACCCAGUGCAUGUGGGUCAGGUGUCUGUAUCCGUCUAGAGCGGGAACGUGCUCCCCUUGUAAUUGGAAAUAACUUCCGGGGCCGCCAGGGCUCAGCGGUGGAGCGUCUGCCUUCAGCUCAGGGCGUGACCCCCGUCCGGGGAUGGAGUCCCCGCAUGGAGCCUGCUUCUCCCUCUGCCUGUGUCUCUGCCUCUCUCUGUGUGUCUCUCAGGAAUAAAUAAAUAAAAUCUUUAAAAAAAAAAAAGAACUGGGAUCCCUGGGUGGCGCAGCGGUUUGGCGCCUGCCUUUGGCCUAGGGCGCGAUCCUGGAGAUCCGAGAUCGAAUCCCACGUCGGGCUCCUGGUGCAUGGAGCCUGCUUCUCCCUCUGCCUAUGUCUCUGCCUCUCUCUCUCUCUCUCCCUGUGUGACUAUCAUAAAUAAAUAAAAAUUAAAAAAAAAAAAAGAACUUCUGGAUUAAGAGGGAAAAGGAGCAGCCUGUUCAGUGGGCAGGCUCGGAGCGCGGGAUGGUACAGAGCCGGGGCGGUCUCCCUCACUGGGCUGCGGAGGCUGAGGAACAGCCUGGAGGGGCAAAGGAGGAGCUCCCACCUCAGGGGCCUAGAGCCUCACCCAACAUGGAGCUGGGUUCUAGAAGGAUUCGAGUUGAGGCCUAUGUGUCCACAUGGAUGAAUAAUCAUUAAAUCUCUGUCCAGAAACACAAAGACCUCCAACUUUAAAAAGAGGACAAAACAGCUUUCAGCCACUGUGAAAAAAAAUAAAGUGUACGUGCAUUUAUUUAGAUGAAAAUCUCCAAAUGAUGAAGGGAAGCCAGGAACUCUAGUCGACAGAGGAGGCCGGCACUGCCGAGGAGACAAGCCGCUGACUGCGGGCGCCUCCCCCAAGGCCACCCACCAGGAAUCUUUGCUCCACCAAAACUCCGCCCGGGCCCAGUGUGGCAGGAGUCACUGCUCUGAGGACACUGAGGACAAUUCUUCACUCCCCUGCCCCCCGGUGCUGAAGGUCAUGCAAGAGCCCCCAAGGGAGGUCCACCCAGAAGCCCCCACGUGUCUCCUCUGAGUGGGUUCCCAUUCAGAGCCCCCCC
RNAcentral lists this long non-coding RNA (1311 nucleotides) under Canis lupus familiaris (dog). RNAcentral's name for it is "lncRNA (ENSCAFG00040002494.1)". The record is from RNAcentral. Lineage: Eukaryota; Metazoa; Chordata; Mammalia; Carnivora; Canidae.